CGGUCAACGGUCUACAGGUAACGUAGGUUUACGUACUACCGUCGGCGACGAGGACGAACGCUGGCGGCGUGCCUAAUACGAUGCAAGUCGAGCGAACAGAAAACGGAGCUUGCUCCUUUGACGUUAGCGGCGGACGGUGAGUAACACGUGGGCAACCUACCCUAUAGUUUGGGAUAACUCCGGGAAACCGGGGCUAAUACCGAAUAACCUCUUUACUUCAUGGUGAAAGACUGAAAGACGGUUUCGGCUGUCGCUAUAGGAUGGGGCCCGCGGCGCAUUAGCUAGUUGGUGAGGUAACGGCUCACCAAGGCGACGAUGCGUAGCCGACCUGAGAGGGUGAUCGGCCACACUGGGACUGAGACACGGCCCAGACUCCUACGGGAGGCAGCAGUAGGGAAUCUUCCACAAUGGGCGAAAGCCUGAUGGAGCAACGCCGCGUGAGUGAAGAAGGUUUUCGGAUCGUAAAACUCUGUUGUAAGGGAAGAACAAGUACAGUAGUAACUGGCCGUACCUUGACGGUACCUUAUUAGAAAGCCACGGCUAACUACGUG
RNAcentral lists this ribosomal RNA (551 nucleotides) under uncultured Lysinibacillus sp. RNAcentral describes it as "bacterial SSU rRNA". It matches the Rfam family "Bacterial small subunit ribosomal RNA", at positions 1 to 507 of the family's 1533-position model. Lineage: Bacteria; Bacillati; Bacillota; Bacilli; Caryophanales; Bacillaceae. The record is from RNAcentral.